Molecule: long non-coding RNA, 216 nt
Filed under: Junco hyemalis (dark-eyed junco)
Lineage: Eukaryota; Metazoa; Chordata; Aves; Passeriformes; Passerellidae
Description: lncRNA (ENSJHYG00000016148.1)
Source: RNAcentral
GCUGCUGUCGCCGCUCCCCAAGGCGAGGGCAGCACGGGCGGCGGCAGCGCCGAGCCCAGCGCGCCCCGCGGAGCCGCUGCGGGCGGGCAGCGGGCACGGGCAUGGCAAUGCGGCAUGCACCGCCUGGCUGACCACCGGUAUCUUCAGUCUUGGGCAGAGGAGCAUCCUGAAAAGAGUAUUCACGCCAAGAAAAAGAGACUAAUUUUAUUUUGCUGA